CUUGAUCGACCCCAACCACAGCGGCUCGGACCGGUCCUGGCCGUAGGUGGCCAGAAGUGCUUGCGCCUC
This 69-nucleotide antisense RNA is filed under the name Kutzneria sp. 744. Its description in RNAcentral is "ASpks TB sRNA". It matches the Rfam family "ASpks TB sRNA". Lineage: Bacteria; Bacillati; Actinomycetota; Actinomycetes; Pseudonocardiales; Pseudonocardiaceae. The record is from Rfam by way of RNAcentral.